GAUGAACGCUGGCGGCGUGCCUAAUACAUGCAAGUCGAGCGAACGGACGAGAAGCUUGCUUCUCUGAUGUUAGCGGCGGACGGGUGAGUAACACGUGGAUAACCUACCUAUAAGACUGGGAUAACUUCGGGAAACCGGAGCUAAUACCGGAUGAUAUUUUGAACCGCAUGGUUCAAAAGUGAAAGACGGUCUUGCUGUCACUUAUAGAUGGAUCCGCGCUGCAUUAGCUAGUUGGUAAGGUAACGGCUUACCAAGGCAACGAUGCAUAGCCGACCUGAGAGGGGGAUCGCCCAAACUGGAACUGGGACACGGUCCAGACUCCUACGGGAGGCAGCAGUAGGGAAUCUUCCGCAAUGGGCGAAAGCCUGACGGAGCAACGCGGCGUGAGUGAUGAAGGUCUUCGGAUCGUAAAACUCUGUUAUUAGGGAAGAACAUAUGUGUAAGUAACUGUGCACAUCUUGACGGUACCUAAGCAGAAAGCCACGGCUAACUACGU
Molecule: ribosomal RNA, 496 nt
Filed under: uncultured bacterium
Lineage: Bacteria
Description: partial 16S ribosomal RNA
Rfam family: Bacterial small subunit ribosomal RNA
Source: RNAcentral